GGUAAGUUUAAUUUUCAUUUUAGUUUUUCUUUUGAUUAUGCUAUUUUGGGCUGUCUUUUGGGUUUACUUUUUGUUUGAUUGGUUUUGUUGUUUCUGUUAAUUCUUGUUGUUUUUCAUUCUAUGUGGGUUUAAUCCUAUUGCGUGUAUUUAUUUUUGAAUUUUAAUUCAAUCCUGUUGCAUGUAUAUAUUUUUCGAUUUUAAUUGUUGUUCUUUUCAGUUCUUUGCAUCCGUUCUUGCUGGAUUUAAUUGGGUGAAAUAAAAUUUUGAUGAUGAAUUAAAUCCUUCAAGAGCCUCUGAAUGGUGAAUUUAGUACAAGGGAGUAGGAAUCAAAUACUUACGUUGGCCACCCUUUGUUUUCUUGGCUUUUUUCUUGUAGUUACUUCACAACUUAUGAAGUAUUCUUAUAAUUUUUGUUCAAGUUAUUUUAUUCUUUUCCCUGUGUCAUCUUUCAUUCAAGUAACAACAUGUUGGUGUCAAGGGUACUAGCAGAAGUGCUUAUCUUCAUUCUGCUGAAUACCACCAUUUCCCCUUUGAAGUACCAUGAAUUUUAGCUACAACUCCUUUGUCUUGACCAUAUCCAUCAAAUGUUGUCCAACAAAUUAUUAACAUUCAGCUGAAGAAGUCAUCCCGGGUAAGCGCUAAUGUUACUUGUACAAGCCUAACAAUUGUAUCAUUCAUAGAAAAAGAGUAGAUGCUGCCACUGACUAUUGACCAGAGAAUUGCUAAGAAGGUCAGGCCACUUGCCACGAGCGAGCAGGAAAUGGAACCAACGAUGGUUGAAUCUGGAUCUUCAAGUGUAGCACUAGCACAUGAACCGCUCACGCCAGCAAAAAAAACUAAAAGAAACUAUUGUCCUCUUUUUUGGUAACUUUUGCGUACUAGAAAAGGAUGGGAUUUAUUUUUGGGCUCCAAAUCGCUAUGUUUUGACUCAUUAUGAAGCACGUUCAGCAGCUUUAGAAGCCAUCACACUCCUACAGAUUUAUCGCGAACAAAAAGUGCUACUUCCAGUUAAGUUUCACCACAUUACUUUUGAAAUCAUGAUUGUUAAGUUGGAGUUGAGGUUAAGAUAUCUAUUGUAGCAAUGUAGCGACUAAUUUUCUUGAGAACCAAUUCUUUCAUAAAAUCUGCUACAUCUGGAGAAAUUUAGCAUCGUCGUGCCUGUUCUCUGUAUCUAUUGUGUGACUAUUCUUUCUGUAUCUGUUGUGCUUUGUGCCAGUGUUCAUCUGUGGGUGAUAUGAAUGCCAUGGUGAAAAGAUAAUUAGUUAUCCACUGGUAAUAUUUGUCAUAUGGUAUGGAGUUCAAGAAAGUGUUUUAGUUUGCCUGGUUUUGGUUUUGUCUUCACAAGGACUUUUAAGGAAGUGUUCAAUUUGUCUUUUUUUUUUUAUUUUGAUUUGACACAGUAAAACUAAAGACAGGAAGAAUAUUCCAAAAUAUUUUUUUAAUCCUCUGAUCUCAAAUGUACCAUGUGGAAGGAAAGGUUCAAACUUGAAAUAAAAAAGUUGGGAGAAAAGGUAGUUGAAACUUGAAGCGUACCAUGUGGAAACUUCAAAGCUUUUCCUUACUGUUGAACUUGUUCAUCCAUAAUUAUUCUUAGAAAUUAUUGUUAUUCUCGGUAAUUGAUUUGUGGUAAAAGCAUUGUUGGUAUGUUAACAGCCUUUCCAGCUCAGUAAUGAAAAGGAAGUUUAAUCAUGUAUUACAGUAUAGCUUUUGCCCUAAAAUUUAUUACGGUUUGGUGUUCAUUUUCCUCAGACUACUAAUAUUUACCUCUUCACAUUUAGCCAUGUCAUAACUGUUUUUUGGAAUGCAAAACCAUGGCUGGAUUCUUAGCUCUCCCAUCCUACCGCUGUACGUUUGAAAUAUGAUCGUGUGGUAGCUGAAAAUGCAAGAACUGUAAUUUUUUAGAACUGUAAUUUUUUUGGGUUGUAUUGUAAUUACUACUAGAAGACCAAUUUGACUGAAUGCCACACCUAUAGUUAUUGUAAAUAUUGUUUAAUAUAUGUAUGUAUGUAUGUCGCCUUAAAUAUA
Molecule: long non-coding RNA, 2025 nt
Organism: Capsicum annuum
Lineage: Eukaryota; Viridiplantae; Streptophyta; Magnoliopsida; Solanales; Solanaceae
Exons: 3
Source: RefSeq, a predicted model, not a curated record